AUGAUUAAAGGAGAAGAUUGUUCUUUUACCAAACAUGUGCAGAUCAAAUCACGUCUUAUAAUAAGAAGAAAUCUUUCUCGGUAUCAAUCCCCUUGCCCCUCAUUCUUUGAGAAUCAGAAGGAUCCUUUUCGAGUUUCCAUUUCUUCAUUUGGAAUCUGGGCUCUUCUAUCUUCGACUUAUUUUUUUUGGCUUAUUUCUUUAUUUAUUUCAUUUCGAUUUUUCCCUCUUCCUCUAUCCCUAUCCUCUAGGUACAGCGUUUGCAUCAAUAGAGAACCUUUUCCUCUGUAUGAAUCUAUAUUAUUCCAUUCCAAUUUCUUCCCGAAACUUCCCAAGAAAACCCCCGAAUUGGAUCCAAAAUUGACGGGUUAA
Molecule: ribosomal RNA, 369 nt
Filed under: Triticum aestivum (bread wheat)
Lineage: Eukaryota; Viridiplantae; Streptophyta; Magnoliopsida; Poales; Poaceae
Description: partial small subunit ribosomal RNA
Source: RNAcentral